Long non-coding RNA from Macaca fascicularis (crab-eating macaque), 2629 nucleotides. The record is from Ensembl. Lineage: Eukaryota; Metazoa; Chordata; Mammalia; Primates; Cercopithecidae.
CUGCCAGAGCAGAUGAGGAUUUUUCUCUGGUCUUCACGGGAGAACCUGAUGGGCCUCCUGUAGGUAAAACUCAAGAAAGUAUGGAUGCGCCCCAAGACUGGACUUCCUCAGAAUCUUUAAUUCUCAAGUUAGUCGACACUAAGCCUCCAGAAAUUUGUUAAUUACAGUUUCAAGUAUUCCUCCAGAUAGUGGCUGCAGCUGCAGGCUCCUGCUCCCACUAAGCUGUAAUUGUCUGUAUCUGCCCGUCUAUCUCCAGUUUUAGUAGCAGCAGUUUGCUCUAUUACCAUAAUUCUUUGAUGGAUCCAAGAAGAGUUGUUGAUUUUCAGUUUUUUCGGCAUUUUUCUUGUUGUGAGGAUGGUAAUGAUGACCUCCACAUUCUUUACUUGGGCCCUGAAGUUUGAUACCUGUAUUUUUAAAGUAUUUUGUAGUCAGUUUUGUGCUUAAGAUAAAAUUAAGAGGCCAGGCAUUGUGGCUCAUGCCUGUAAUCCAAGUGCUUUGGGGGGCUAAGACAGGAGGAUUGCUUGAAGCUAGGAGUUUAAGACCAGCCUGGACAACAUAGUGAGAACCCAUAUCUACAAAAAAAUGAAAAUAUUAGCUGGGUGUAGUGGUGCAUGUGUGUAGUCCCAGCUAUUUGGGAGGCUGAGGCAGGAGACUCACUUGAGCCCAGGAGUUUGAGGUUACAGUGAACUAUGAUCAUGCCACUGCCCACCAGCCUGGGUGACAGAGCAAGACCCUGUCUCCAAAAAAAAGAAAAAAAAAGGUUAAUUUAAUAAUUUAAAGUUUUGUGUUAUAUAUACAUUUUAAAUUGAUGGUAAUUUUGUAUCAUAAAUAUUUACAUAUUCCUUUUUAGCCUACCCUAAAAGCAUCCCACAGCAUGGGCUCAUCCCAGUUUAUGCCACCAGAGGCAAUUUCCUUGUAUUAAUGUGCCCAUGAAGUAUCAUCUGUAGUUCUACCAGUUUUUCUUAACAUUUCUUCAAUGCAUCUUCUCCUUUUUCCCCUUCAUUAUUGGAUGACUGUCUUAUUCCAGAGCCUUAUCACCUUGGAUAUGGGUCCUAAUUAGUAUCUCUUUCUCCUGCCUGUCCACUUUACAACCAUCCUGAGUGAUCUUUCUAAACCUUGUGAAAUUCCCUUCUCUAAAUACAUCAUUGAGAUGAUUGGUAAACCUGUUAUUAGUAAAAUAGAAGUUCUUCAUUUAGCAAGAUAUACAUAUAAGGCCCCCCUAUUGAGAGGUGAAGCCAGCUGGACUUCCUGGGUCGAGUGGGGACUUGGACAACUUUUCUGUCUAGCUAAAGGAUUGUAUAUGCACCAAUCAGCACUCUGUAAAAACACAGCAGUCAGUGCUCUGUCUAGCUAAAGGAUUGUAAAUGCACCAAUCAGUGCUCUGUGUCUACCUAAAGGAUUGUAAAUGCACCAAUCAACACUCUGUGUCUAGCUAAAGGAUUGUAAACGCACCAAUCAGCACUCUGUAAAAAUGCACCAGUCAGUGCUCUGUGUCUAGCUAAAGGAUUGUAAACACACCAAUCAGCACUCUGUAAAAAUGCACCAAUCAGUGCUGUUUCUAGCUAAAGGAUUGUAAAUGCACCAAUCAGCAUGCUGCAAAAUGGACCAAUCAGCUCUCUGUAAAAUGAACCAAUCAGCAAGAUGUGGGCGGGGCCAAAUAAGGGAAUAAAAGCUGGCCACCCGAGCCAGCAGUGGCUACCCUCUUGGAUCCCUUUCCAUGCUGUGGAAGCUUUGUUCUUUCGCACUUCACAAUAAAUCUUACUGCUGCUCACUCUUUGGGUCCUCACUCCCUUUAUGAGCUGUAACACUCACCACGAGGGUCUGUGGCUUCAUUCCUGAAGUCAGCGAGACCACGAAGCCACCAGGAGAAACAAACAACUCUGGACGUGCCACCUUUAAGAGCUGUAACACUCACUGCGAAGGUCUGCAACUUCACUCCUGAAGUCAGCGAGACCACAAACCCACGAGAAGAAAGAAACUCCAGACACAUCUGAACAUCUGAAGGAACAAACUCCAGACACACCAUCUUUAAGAACUGUAACACUCACUGUGAGGGUCCGCGGCUUCAUUCUUGAAGUCAGCGAGACCAAGAACUCACCGGAAGGAACCAAUUCCGGACACACUAUCUUCUGAGACAUUCGGAUCAGGCAUUUGUUCUUCUGGGAAGCUAUCUUUGGUAUUCUUCCCUUACUACAGAUGCCCCAAAUAACUACAGAAGUUAUCCUCUUCUGUCCUAUCACUGUCUUGUUCACUGUUCUGUAAUACAGCGUUAGUCACAAUGAUUGUAACUUUUAAAUUAUAUGUGUGUAUACCCUAAUACAGUUGUUAUUUGGCUUUCCAUUCUAUCACCUUAUAUAGAACAUUUAAAAUAGAUGUAUGUUAAAUAUUUGUUGAAAAAGAUGAAGGAAAUAGCUCCACUAUAAAAUUCCAGCAAGGUAAAAAUCACUGCUCAUCUAAGAAAGUUCAAUAUAAUGCUAUUCAUAAAAAAGUGCCAUUAAUAGUCUUUAUAAUUAUACAUAUAUAGUAAUAUGGAAUUUUAUGUGAAGUGUGAAACUUUUGUCCUAUCUACAUCAUUUUUCAUAUCUGUGUUAUGUCUCUAAGAUAAUAAAUUAAUACUUCUUGAAUCACA